Molecule: ribosomal RNA, 372 nt
Filed under: uncultured organism
Description: bacterial SSU rRNA
Rfam family: Bacterial small subunit ribosomal RNA
Source: RNAcentral
CGUAGGGGGCAAGCGUUGUCCGGAAUUAUUGGGCGUAAAGGGCGCGUAGGCGGAUGGUUAAGUCCGGUGCGAAAGAUCAGGGCUCAACCCUGAGAGUGCAUCGGAAACUGGGCAUCUUGAGGACAGGAGAGGAAAGUGGAAUUCCACGUGUAGCGGUGAAAUGCGUAGAUAUGUGGAGGAACACCAGUGGCGAAGGCGACUUUCUGGACUGUAACUGACGCUGAGGCGCGAAAGCGUGGGGAGCAAACAGGAUUAGAUACCCUGGUAGUCCACGCUGUAAACGAUGAGUGCUAGGUGUAGAGGGUAUCGACCCCUUCUGUGCCGCAGUUAACACAAUAAGCACUCCGCCUGGGGAGUACGGCCGCAAGGUUG